UAAUAUAGAACGCCUCUCCUAACUUACUGUUGUAUUUUAUUAUAUUAUAAAAAAUAAAAAAAAUGAGCAAAAUCUAAGUAGAGUGCCUUUGAAUGAUGAUAGUUUGUAGUUAGGUCAAAACAGUUCGAGAAAUGUUCUAUUUAUUUUACCAUAAAUAAAAAAUAAAAAUACUUAAUUAACCCAAUUUUAACCUAAAUCUAUGUGCCUACAUCAGUUAAAUUCCAUAUUUCUCUCAAAAUCUCAUCCCUCCAUUUCCUACAAUUCCAAUUCCCCAUUAUCUUCAUCAUCUCAAUCCCACAAGCUUCACGUCCCACUGUCUCAAUUCCCCCAUCAUCUCCUAAACUGUAAUAAUCCCAUUUCUUUGUCGGUUUUCUGAAAUCAAUCGCUCCUCUAUAAGCUUCUCAUUAUCACCAUCGUUCUUCACCAAAACCUCCUCACCUCCACCUUGGAUUCCCUCCUCUUCGGCUCCGAUUUUAUUAUUGGUUGUGGCGCAUCCUCCAAUUUUUCGUCUUUUGAUUUCUUCGUUUAAUUUCAUGGUAUAUCAACGGAAUCAAUGAAGAAAAGUCGAUUAAAUUGAUGCGCACAUUUUUUUCUCAUGUUUCCACAUUACACUUCAAUUAUUGUAUUGAUUUUUUUUCAAAAGAAUUGUAUUAAUUAGUAGUAAUUUUCGAAUAUUGAGUUAUAAAUCUAUAAUGCUCCGCAUCAUGUUGUUUGAUUUAGUCUACUUUUACGGAAUCAGAAAUAUUAAUACAGCAAAAUCAUGUGCUGGCAAAUCAUUUAAAUAUGUUCAAAAUUUUUAUUUUUAUUUUUUUUAAAAAAAAAAGCAAGGAAAAGAGAACUGUUAAGUGAGAUAGGCGUUCAGUUUCAUAUAAUUAUAGUACGGCUAACACUAGAUAGGCGUUGUCUAUUUUAUUUUUAUACAUAGAAUUGGAGUUGUCUAUCUUGGAUUGGUGUUAUGUAAGGCACCCCCACUUGAAGAACGCCUGUAAAGCGUUCUAUAUUGCCUAUUUCAAGCGUUCUAUGUAACCUAUUUAUUAGUAGUGUAAUUUUAAUAGAUGUAAAGUUUUUGAGCAAGCAAGCCCCAGUCAAUUACCCUGAUUGGCGAAAACUUGUUUACUAGGCCCUAUUAUGUCCCCUGCUAUGCCAUAUAAAAUAAUAUGAUAAUAUUUUGUACUAUCUUUUACCAAAUUAAAAAAAAAAAAA
Chenopodium quinoa (quinoa) is the source of this 1203-nucleotide long non-coding RNA. RefSeq lists it as uncharacterized. NCBI's taxonomy places the organism in Eukaryota, Viridiplantae, Streptophyta, Magnoliopsida, Caryophyllales, Amaranthaceae. The transcript is spliced from 2 exons. The record is from RefSeq and is a predicted model, not a curated record.